Non-coding RNA from Coffea arabica (coffee), 2598 nucleotides. The record is from RefSeq and is a predicted model, not a curated record. Lineage: Eukaryota; Viridiplantae; Streptophyta; Magnoliopsida; Gentianales; Rubiaceae.
AACUUGUGGGUAGACAUACAAAUAAUACAUUUUCUUGAUAAGAAGUUUGUCGAAAGAAUGUGAGGGGAGAGCAACAAAUGAUGAAUGAUGAUGGGAUGAAAACGUGAUUAUGUUGACAGAAUGCUAACCAACUGCAGAAAAAGAAUUGUUGUUGGUCCAUUCAGUGUUAGAAUCGGUGAGGUGCUCGCCGCUCACUCACGGCGUCGUUUAGUUGAUUCUGUGUGUCCGCUAAGUUCUUCUCUUCCUUUCCUUGCCUUUCCUGCAAGCUACGUUUCGCCCGCGGUGGAGGUUUGGUUGCUGCUGUUGCUGCGGUGGAGGUCUUGAUUCUUGAAUUGGAAUGCUCCCUGACUCCUCUGUCGACUCAAAAACUGAUUGAUUCCCCAAAAAAAAAACAACAAACAACAAAAUCUCAGCUUUUCUUAGCUCCAACAUCACACGCACUGCCUCUCUCUCUCUUCCCCCCCAGCAGCCUAAACAUUUCUGGGAUUUCAGACACAUUAAUAAUAGAAACUCCAUCCUCUAUAUAUAUAUAUAUAUAUGUAUGUAUAUUCCCCACCCAAAUUGUUCCCACAAAUCUCCAUAGAAACUUUUAUUUGUUCAUUUCAUGCGGCUUUCUGAUUCAUCCUCGGGAUCUGCCAAACUCGAUAUAAAUUCAUAACCUCAUCCUCUGCCAUUUCUGAUUUGUAAUCUCUUCUUCCCUGCUCAAGCCUACACCCCCACACACUUGUAUCUCUCUCUCUCUCUCUCUCUCUAACUAUGUGUAUUAUAUACUGAAAAGAAGAAGAAGAAGAAGUAAUACUAGUUAGUUGUACAUCUACUAAUCAUUUUAAAACCAUAAAAGAAAAAAAAAAUUAUGGUGAGCGACACCAGCACCAACAUCUUCAAGCGAUUCAGAAUCGGAUUGCUUCCUUGGUUCCGUAAAAAGCUACUCGAUCCUCUCCUCCACAUUCUCCGCAUGGGAGCAGAGCCUAAGCAAUUGGCCUUCUCCGCCGCACUAGGCAUUACCCUUGGUGUCUUUCCCAUCUGCGGAGUCACUUUUUUCCUUUGUGGAUUGGCUAUCGCAUUACUCAGAUCCUCAUGUCAUGCGCCAACUGUAAUGCUGGCUAAUUUUGUUGCUACUCCAAUCGAGCUGAGUCUGAUAAUUUUUUUCUUGCGCUUUGGUGAAUUCAUCACUGGAGGACCUCACUUUCCUCUAACUUCUGAUGCAUUGAAGAAGGUCUUGACUGGUCAAGCUUCAAGAGAAAUCUUGCGGGGCAUCUUCAAUGCGCUGUUAGGCUGGCUUGUGGCCGCGCCCUUCAUCUUGGGGACCCUCUAUGUAUUGUUCUUGCCAUGCUUUGCCUUCUUGGUGCGCAAAUUCAGCGGUGUUCCUACCAGCCCGAAGCUACCUCUCCAUUCCAAUACAGAAGCCAGGCUUAAGGUAAGGGAUGUAUGACGGUAUCAAGGCAGAAGAUAAAGUUGCUGACUGCAAGUCGCGGUGCAUCGGCAACUCCAGUCGCGGUAAAUUGGAGACUCCAUGCAAGCCAAAACAGGCAUGUAGAUGCAGUUGGCACUUGUACCAUCUAUCCAUCCAUCCAUCCAUCCGUCAUAACCCCCUCCUCCCCUUACUCGGUUGUCUGGUGUGCAACAAAGUCAAACAAGAAAAAGGCCGGCGUAAUUCGUUUUGUACUUUUUGCGGACACACAGUACAGACUAGAGGGAGGAGUUGGCUGCUAAGAAAUAGUACGGUGUCGUAACACAGCAGAGAACCGUUGGUACCCAGAUCUGUUUCUAUCAUCAGCUCCACCGCUCACCCCUCCUCCCAUCUUCGCUUUACCUGCAAACUAAACACACACACACACACACUCUCUCUCUAAUAUAGCACAGAAAGCAUUUGGUCCCCCGGGAAGGGGCAUAGGGGCACAGUGGGUGUAACCGACUCACUAAAUUCAGCAUUCUACUAUUGACAAUAUGUGAACGAGAGGUUGGAUUUCCAAACCAAGAACCAGGGAAAUUGGUUGCUGAUACAGCUCAUAGUAGUAAUUAUUAUGUCUCACAGUGGACGAGGUGGCGGCAUAGGUGGAGGUGGUAAGACUAGUAUUAGUAGAUAUUCAGACCCACAAGAAACAGCUACAUCUGCUGCUGCUGCUGCUGUCGUCGGAGGUGGUGGAAAUGCUUCUUCUUCUUCUUCGGCUGAGUUGAGACUCUAUCAAGCUUUCAUUUUUUCUGUCCCAAUCUUCUUCACUUUCGUCCUCCUUUCCUUGUUCUACUUGUUCUGUCUCCGCCGUCGCAGGCUUGAUUGGCCCUCUCUCACAAUGCCCGCCUCUUCUUCUUCUUCUUUCCGCUCCUCCUCCUCCAGGGCUGAAACUGGGGGACUAAAGAAGGAGGUCAGGGAGAUGCUGCCCGUGAUUGUAUUCAAGGAAAGUUUUUCCGUCAAAGACAUGCAGUAAGUGCUCCAUGGACUUAUAUAAUUUUUUUUUAUUCCUCCGUCAACCAAAUUGCCAAUUAUCAAUUACUAGCACAAACACAAAGUACAAGAUGCCGUUCAAUUUCUGGCCGUUAGUCAUUGAGACCACUCUAUGUAUAGCUUGUCUUCCACUCUAUAAAAAAAAAAAAAAAAAA